UACGUAGGGGGCAAGCGUUUAUCCGGAAUCAUUGGGCGUAAAGCGCGUGUAGGCGGUUCCGUAAGUCCGCUCUGAAAGCCCAGGGCUCAACCCUGGGAGGCGGGUGGAUACUACGGAACUGGAGUACGGAAGAGGAGAUUGGAAUUCCUGGUGUAGCGGUGAAAUGCGUAGAGAUCGGGAGGAACAUCAGUGGCGAAGGCGGCCAUCUGGGACAACACUGACGCUGAAGCACGAAAGCGUGGGGAGCAAACAGG
This 254-nucleotide ribosomal RNA is filed under the name uncultured bacterium. RNAcentral's name for it is "partial 16S ribosomal RNA". It matches the Rfam family "Bacterial small subunit ribosomal RNA", at positions 524 to 776 of the family's 1533-position model. The record is from RNAcentral.